GGGCAGCCAAAAGAACCUUUGGGUGAGAAAGUUCCACCCCGUUCCCCUCGCGGUCCCCCUGUCUGGGGCCUGACUGGAAUUUGGAACAUUCCGUUUUGCUGCAAUCAAGCCGGCUGCUCCGCACAGGAGGGAAGACAGAGAGGCUGUGGUAAAUGAAGCUGUAAGGAGUGUGGGGACUGGAUUUUGGAGAGAUGGAACAAGUGGAGUAGUCUUCAUGCUCCUAGCAAGUUACUGUACCGCCGGGCAAAGUCUGGACACCCUGCUCUAAAGUUACAGCUCAGAAGUUAUGAGCGUCUUAAAAACAGGUUUACAACCAGAAUGUUGACACAGAUAGAACCUUGAUACAGCUCUGCUAGCGAUCUUUAUGGAGGCAAAGUAAAACAAACAAUUUACGAGAACAGAAACUGACCAUCCAAAGGGUAUAGUAUGUUGGAUGUCAGGGGCUAUACUGGAAUUUUUGUGACCAAGAGGUUGUUCUAGUUGUUAUUGCAGAAGCUGUACCCUAGAAGAAACAUCUGCUGUGUCAAGCGCCAACUGAAUCACUGAUGUGGCUGCUAGAGGACCUUCUGCCAGGAAAGCCUUAAACUCUUCCUUUGCAUCUUCAGGGAGUUUUUCAGUGAAUUUAGAUGUGAUCCAGUUUACAAAGUCAUUCUUUUAUAAAUGAACCUGCUGAUUAGCUAUGCAUGUCUGGAGAGACAAGGCAGAAUAAAUCUUUCUCCACAGCAAAUCAAGCCUCUUGGCCUCCUUUUCUUUGGGUGUUAAUUUGAACUUGCCCUGUUGCAACCUCUCACUGGUGACAGUGACCACA
Long non-coding RNA from Mauremys reevesii (Reeves's turtle), 808 nucleotides. RefSeq lists it as uncharacterized. The transcript is spliced from 4 exons. The record is from RefSeq and is a predicted model, not a curated record. NCBI's taxonomy places the organism in Eukaryota, Metazoa, Chordata, Testudines, Geoemydidae.